Molecule: transfer RNA, 69 nt
Filed under: Corynebacterium pollutisoli
Lineage: Bacteria; Bacillati; Actinomycetota; Actinomycetes; Mycobacteriales; Corynebacteriaceae
Description: tRNA_Pseudo_Pseudo
Rfam family: tRNA
About the family: Transfer RNA (tRNA) molecules are approximately 80 nucleotides in length. Their secondary structure includes four short double-helical elements and three loops (D, anti-codon, and T loops).
Source: RNAcentral
UUUCCCAUGGUGUAACAGGCAACACGCUGGUCUUUUCCGGCUUCCCGGGUUCGAGUCCCGGUGGGAGAA